AUUGAACGCUAGCGGGAUGCUUUACACAUGCAAGUCGAACGGCAGCGCGGACUUCGGUCUGGCGGCGAGUGGCGAACGGGUGAGUAAUGUAUCGGAACGUGCCCAGUAGCGGGGGAUAACUACGCGAAAGCGUAGCUAAUACCGCAUACGCCCUACGGGGGAAAGCAGGGGAUCGUAAGACCUUGCACUAUUGGAGCGGCCGAUAUCGGAUUAGCUAGUUGGUGAGGUAACGGCUCACCAAGGCGACGAUCCGUAGCUGGUUUGAGAGGACGACCAGCCACACGGGGACUGAGACACGGCCCAGCCCCCGCCGGGAGGCAGCGGGGGGAAAUUUGGGAACAGGGGGGCAACCCUGCUCCAGCCAUCCCGCGGGUGCGAUGAAGGCCUGCGGGUUGUAAAGCCUUUUUGGCGGGAAAAAAACGUCGGGGGCUAAAACCCCGGGGAACGGCCGGGCCCUGCAAAAUAAGCACCGGCUACCUACGG
This 483-nucleotide ribosomal RNA is filed under the name uncultured bacterium. Its description in RNAcentral is "partial 16S ribosomal RNA". It matches the Rfam family "Bacterial small subunit ribosomal RNA", at positions 29 to 506 of the family's 1533-position model. The record is from RNAcentral.